AGAGUUUGAUCCUGGCUCAGGACGAACGCUGGCGGGCGUGCCUAAUACAUGCAAGUGGAACGCAUUGGUAACACCGGACUUGCUCCAGUGUUACUAAUGAGUCGCGAACGGGUGAGUAACGCGUAGGUAACCUGCCUGAUAGCGGGGGAUAACUAUUGGAAACGAUAGCUAAUACCGCAUAAGAGGAGUUAACUCAUGUUAACUGUUUAAAAGAAGCAAUGGCUUCACUAUCAGAUGGACCUGCGUUGUAUUAGCUAGUAGGUAGGGUAACGGCCUACCUAGGCAACGAUACAUAGCCGACCUGAGAGGGUGAACGGCCACACUGGGACUGAGACACGGCCCAGACUCCUACGGGAGGCAGCAGUAGGGAAUCUUCGGCAAUGGACGCAAGUCUGACCGAGCAACGCCGCGUGAGUGAAGACGGUUUUCGGAUCGUAAAGCUCUGUUGUAGGGGAAGAACGUGUGUAAGAGUGGAAAGCUUACACAGUGACGGUACCCUACCAGAAAGGGACGGCUAACUACGUGCCAGCAGCCGCGGUAAAUAA
RNAcentral lists this ribosomal RNA (545 nucleotides) under Streptococcus sobrinus. RNAcentral's name for it is "bacterial SSU rRNA". It matches the Rfam family "Bacterial small subunit ribosomal RNA", at positions 8 to 525 of the family's 1533-position model. Lineage: Bacteria; Bacillati; Bacillota; Bacilli; Lactobacillales; Streptococcaceae. The record is from RNAcentral.